RNAcentral lists this ribosomal RNA (254 nucleotides) under uncultured bacterium. RNAcentral's name for it is "partial 16S ribosomal RNA". It matches the Rfam family "Bacterial small subunit ribosomal RNA", at positions 524 to 776 of the family's 1533-position model. The record is from RNAcentral.
UACGUAGGGGGGCAAGCGUUGUCCGGAUUUAUUGGGCGUAAAGAGCGUGUAGGCGGCCAGGGAGGUCCGUUGUGAAAACUCGAGGCUCAACCUCGAGACGCCGAUGGAAACCCCCUGGCUAGAGUCCGGAAGAGGAGAAUGGAAUUCCUGGUGUAGCGGUGAAAUGCGCAGAUAUCAGGAAGAACACCCGUGGCUAAGGCGGUUCUCUAGUACGGUACUGACGCUGAGACGCGAAAGCGUGGGGAGCGAACAGG